GAGUCUGCCUUGAAGAUCGGAGUGCUUGCACUCUGUGAAACAANAUACAGGCUAGCGGCGGACGGGUGAGUAACACGUGGGUAACCUGCCCAAGAGAUCGGGAUAACACCUGGAAACAGAUGCUAAUACCGGAUAACAACAGAUGAUGCCUAUCAACUGUUUAAAAGAUGGUUCUGCUAUCACUCUUGGAUGGACCUGCGGUGCAUUAGCUAGUUGGUAGGGUAACGGCCUACCAAGGCGAUGAUGCAUAGCCGAGUUGAGAGACUGAUCGGCCACAUUGGGACUGAGACACGGCCCAAACUCCUACGGGAGGCAGCAGUAGGGAAUCUUCCACAAUGGACGCAAGUCUGAUGGAGCAACGCCGCGUGAGUGAAGAAGGGUUUCGGCUCGUAAAGCUCUGUUGUUGGUGAAGAAGGACAGGGGUAGUAACUGACCUUUGUUUGACGGUAAUCAAUUAGAAAGUCACGGCUAACUACGUGCCAGCAGCCGCGGUAAUACGUAGGUGGCAAGCGUUGUCCGGAUUUAUUGGGCGUAAAGCGAGUGCAGGCGGCUCGAUAAGUCUGAUGUGAAAGCCUUCGGCUCAACCGGAGAAUUGCAUCAGAAACUGUCGAGCUUGAGUACAGAAGAGGAGAGUGGUACUCCAUGUGUAGCGGUGAANNNCGUAGAUAUAUGGAAGAACACCGGUGGCGAAGGCGGCUCUCUGGUCUGUUACU
This 713-nucleotide ribosomal RNA is filed under the name uncultured bacterium. RNAcentral's name for it is "bacterial SSU rRNA". It matches the Rfam family "Bacterial small subunit ribosomal RNA", at positions 59 to 741 of the family's 1533-position model. The record is from RNAcentral.